AUUGAACGCUGGCGGCAGGCCUAACACAUGCAAGUCGAGCGGAUGAAGGGAGCUUGCUCCUGGAUUCAGCGGCGGACGGGUGAGUAAUGCCUAGGAAUCUGCCUGGUAGUGGGGGAUAACGUCCGGAAACGGGCGCUAAUACCGCAUACGUCCUGCGGGAGAAAGUGGGGGAUCUUCGGACCUCACGCUAUCAGAUGAGCCUAGGUCGGAUUAGCUAGUUGGUGGGGUAAAGGCCUACCUAGGCGGCGAUCCGUAACUGGUCUGAGAGGAUGAUCAGUCACACUGGAACUGAGACACGGUCCAGACUCCUACGGGAGGCAGCAGUGGGGAAUAUUGGACAAUGGGCGAAAGCCUGAUCCAGCCAUGCCGCGUGUGUGAAGAAGGUCUUCGGAUUGUAAAGCACUUUAAGUUGGGAGGAAGGGCAGUAAGUUAAUACCUUGCUGUUUUGACGUUACCAACAGAAUAAGCACCGGCUAACUUCGUG
RNAcentral lists this ribosomal RNA (484 nucleotides) under uncultured bacterium. RNAcentral's name for it is "partial 16S ribosomal RNA". It matches the Rfam family "Bacterial small subunit ribosomal RNA", at positions 30 to 507 of the family's 1533-position model. The record is from RNAcentral.